ACGUACGGUGUCAAGGUCACCAAUGAGGCCUUUACCAUAAUGAGAGACAAGAUUGACCUCGAGGGAAAAUCGGUCCUCGUCAUCGGGAGCGAAAAACCCUGGCUUGAGUCCGC
Molecule: small RNA, 113 nt
Filed under: Corethron hystrix
Lineage: Eukaryota; Bacillariophyta; Corethrophyceae; Corethrales; Corethraceae
Description: partial Betaproteobacteria transfer-messenger RNA
Source: RNAcentral